GAUGAACGCUGGCGGCGUGCCUAAUACAUGCAAGUCGAGCGAACGGACGAGAAGCUUGCUUCUCUGAUGUUAGCGGCGGACGGGUGGGUAACACGUGGAUAACCUACCUAUAAGACUGGGAUAACUUCGGGAAACCGGAGCUAAUACCGGAUAAUAUUUUGAACCGCAUGGUUCAAAAGUGAAAGACGGUCUUGCUGUCGCUUAUAGAUGGAUCCGCGCUGCAUUAGCUAGUUGGUAAGGUAACGGCUUACCAAGGCAACGAUGCAUAGCCGACCUGAGAGGGUGAUCGGCCACACUGGAACUGAGACACGGUCCAGACUCCUACGGGAGGCAGCAGUAGGGAAUCCUCCGCAAUGGGCGAAAGCCUGACGGAGCAACGCCGCGUGAGUGAUGAAGGUCUUCGGAUCGUAAAACUCUGUUAUUAGGGAAGAACAUAUGUGUAAGUAACUGUGCACAUCUUGACGGUACCUAAUCAGAAAGCCACGGCUAACUACGUGCCAGCAGCCGCGGUAAUACGUAGGUGGCAAGCGUUAUCCGGAAUUAUUGGGCGUAAAGCGCGCGUAGGCGGUUUUUUAAGUCUGAUGUGAAAGCCCACGGCUCAACCGUGGAGGGUCAUUGGAAACUGGAAAACUUGAGUGCAGAAGAGGAAAGUGGAAUUCCAUGUGUAGCGGUGAAAUGCGCAGAGAUAUGGAGGAACACCAGUGGCGAAGGCGACUUUCUGGUCUGUAACUGACGCUGAUGUGCGAAAGCGUGGGGAUCAAACAGGAUUAGAUACCCUGGUAGUCCACGCCGUAAACGAUGAGUGCUAAGUGUUAGGGGGUUUCCGCCCCUUAGUGCUGCAGCUAACGCAUUAAGCACUCCGCCUGGGGAGUACGACCGCAAGGUUGAAACUCAAAGGAAUUGACGGGGACCCGCACAAGCGGUGGAGCAUGUGGUUUAAUUCGAAGCAACGCGAAGAACCUUACCAAAUCUUGACAUCCUUUGACAACUCUAGAGAUAGAGCUUUCCCCUUCGGGGGACAAAGUGACAGGUGGUGCAUGGUUGUCGUCAGCUCGUGUCGUGAGAUGUUGGGUUAAGUCCCGCAACGAGCGCAACCCUUAAGCUUAGUUGCCAUCAUUAAGUUGGGCACUCUAAGUUGACUGCCGGUGACAAACCGGAGGAAGGUGGGGAUGACGUCAAAUCAUCAUGCCCCUUAUGAUUUGGGCUACACACGUGCUACAAUGGACAAUACAGAGGGCAGCGAAACCGCGAGGUCAAGCAAAUCCCAUAAAGUUGUUCUCAGUUCGGAUUGUAGUCUGCAACUCGACUACAUGAAGCUGGAAUCGCUAGUAAUCGUAGAUCAGCAUGCUACGGUGAAUACGUUCCCGGGUCU
This 1372-nucleotide ribosomal RNA is filed under the name uncultured bacterium. RNAcentral's name for it is "bacterial SSU rRNA". It matches the Rfam family "Bacterial small subunit ribosomal RNA", at positions 28 to 1381 of the family's 1533-position model. The record is from RNAcentral.